Pseudopipra pipra is the source of this 6733-nucleotide long non-coding RNA. RefSeq lists it as uncharacterized. The record is from RefSeq and is a predicted model, not a curated record. NCBI's taxonomy places the organism in Eukaryota, Metazoa, Chordata, Aves, Passeriformes, Pipridae. The transcript is spliced from 2 exons.
CCGGGGGGCAUGGAGUCGCGAGGGUCUGGGGACAUGUGGUGCCAGGGAUGUGGGGUCUCAGCAGGAUGGGAGCCAUGGGCUCCUGAGGUCCCAAAGGUAUGGAGUGCAGUUAAAUGGUGUCCUGGGGAUAUGGAGUCCUGGAGAUAAGGGAUGCAGAGAGCACAGGAUCCCGAGGUCAUAGGCUCUUGAGGUCCCAGAGAUACAGAGUGUAGGUGUCCUGGGGGUAUGGUGUUCUGGGAAUAUGGGUUUCUGGGGAUAAGGGGUGCAGGGCUCCUGAGGUCCCAGAGGUUUGGAGUCCAGGUACAUGAUGCAUGGUGUCCUGGGGGUAUAGGGUGCUGGGGAUAUGGGGUUCUGGGCAUAAGGGAUGAAGAGAGCAGAGAGCAUAGGAUCCCAGGGUCACAGGGUCCUAAGUCUGUGCCUGGGGCACACCAGGGCCUGGACACACGGGUCAAGGGCACGUGGCAUCUGGGCCACAGCGAGACCUGUGCACAGGGGCUGUGGGACAGCUGGGCUCCUGGGCGUAGGAGGCUGCAGAUGUGCAGUGCCUGGGCACAUGGGUGCAGGGCAGGCGGUGUCACACCCCCCCCCAUCCUGGCAGGGCCCAGCCGGGCCUGUGCCAAUCCUCGGCUUGUCCUGCCCACCCCCCUGGGUGGCUCUGACGGGAGCCUGGCACUGCCCUUCAGCCAGCGCACGUGUGCACACAUGUGCUUGUUGCUAAACUUGUGCCUCUCAUAUGUCUCCCAGACAUUUGCCUUGAAGGUUUUGGCUACAGAAGGGUAAAGAGAUGGCCAUGGUGUGGGGUGAGCUCAGCACUGCCUAUAGCCCUGCGCCAGAGACUCCCCUUGGGCUCCUGCAGUCCCUUGGCCCUAGAAUGUGUGUGUACAGGGAACAGCCACACGUUGGGAAAGCAAGUGCCAGCAUUACUGGGAUCUGCUCUCUCAUAAGGCUUCCUUACUUAUAGCGAAUCCUGGGAUCUGCUCCACCCUUAUCUCCACAAGUGGGUUCAGAGCAUUUCCCUCCUUCUCACUGUGUGUUUGACCCCAGUAUCUGCCCUGCUUGCAGCCAUUGUCUGCUCAGUCAGAAAGAUCAGACUCUGCAGGUGGGCAAUGCCAGUCACGGAUGGGUUCAUGGCUGACAGCUCUGGUUUCUCCAUCUUUGGGGUUUCCCAACAUUCCCCUCACCAGCACUGAGCUGCUGCUGUUUGCAGCUGGAAUGGGAGAUACUUUCCAUACAUCCCAGUACGACGUAUGAUCCCACACACUGUGAGGAGUCACCAGACAUGGGCUGAAAUACCCCACUUCCCUGCAGCCCUCUCUGUGAAGCUGCUCGGGGUGGCAGGGAGAGAGAUCAGAGCUCCCAGCCCUCCCCUUGACCCCAGUGAGCACGAAGCUGGUGAGGAACAGCCGUCCCCUUUGUCGUGCCUCUUCUGAACCACCAUUCAGCCAGGGAAACAAUGCUUAAACUGUGCUUGGUUUGCUUUGUAACUUCUUCCCUGCCACGUGAUGCUCACACCAAACCCCAGGGGUCCGCGUGAGGGGAUGCAGGCAGGUGGGUGAGCCGGGCAGGAUACUGCACACCAGUGUCAUGUUUAGAAACUCUUGGUGACUACAUCUGAGGAAGGGAAUAAAGGAAGGAUAACAUGAGCUGAGCUGCUUUGCCGGAGAGAAUUACGUCCAGUGCUUGUCAGCACGAUUCGUCAUCCGAGGAUCCCCGUGGAUCCACCACGGCUCCUGGCGUCUUGGAUGUCAGCCAUGGCACGGAAAAUCCUCUUUCACCGCUCAUUUCCGAUUCCAGGUGAAAACUCAUUAAAGGCAGCCGCUUCACCACUCCCUGCUGUCACCAGGGCACUCACCUAUCAGUCACAUCCUAUCACUGCAGGCAUGGGACAAUUUGUACCAAAGUGCGGGAUCAAGAGAAAUGGUUUAAAAAUAGAUAAUUCUACAGCCCUCCCUUUGUGUCUGUUGCAGCCUCACCUGCCUGUGCCUUGCCACCCAUCGCUGAUGGCAGCAGUACCCAUCACCUCUCUGUGUGCCACGUGCCCUGGGAGAUGGCCACGUGCAACCAUGAAGCCCGUAUCCUUUGCUCCUCAUUGCCGGGACAUUGUCAUUGAUUUGGAUGUCCGGUGUAGUGACGAGCCAAGUUGCCCAGCGUUUUUACUCAUCGUCCACACAUGCCUGGGCAAGCCAAAUGGUAUUGGAGCCCAAAGGCAGGGCAUUAGCACAGUUGCAAAGCAAAAUUGCCUUUUGUGUAGGAAAGUAAUGUCUUUGGUUUGGAAGUGGGAUUUUUUUUCGCAGGCCAAACGCUCCUAUAGAGGUGGAGGAAAGAGUUACAACCAUAGGGUGCUUUGGGCCUAGCACUGGCUUAAAAAUUGGCCAGAGUGUGCUGAGUCCUUGCAGCCUCACAGCUGGGUAACCCAUAGGCUGACCGUGUUUGCAAAAUGGGUUUUUCACAUGCAUUUGUAGGAAAGGCAGCCUUUUUGUGGGCUACACUGGAUUUUAUUUGCCCCCAAAAUUGUUUAUAGAGUGCCCAGCACUAGUGAUGAAACAAGAAAGGUUUUAAUUUUGUGAUAUAUAUAUUUUUUUUGUGCAGCCCCAUGGGCAUGACUUGUUUGUUUGAAGUCCAGCCUGGUUUUAAUCACCUUGAAUUAAGUAACUGAUCUUACUAAUGAUCCGACUAUGAGAGGGCUUAUCACAGGUUCCUUGGCACAUGAUGAAGAUUACUCUGUUGGUGCAACCCCUUCCGAGUAAUGUGACGUGUCCUCUCAGAGCUAUUUUUGUCUUCACCCUCAUCUGGGACCUUGAUCCUUUGGUUUCUCCAGCCAUUGACCAGCUAAAAUCCUCUUAAUGCUACGGAAACCCCAACUACGUAAUGGGACGACAGAAAAAGCUCUGCCAUUUCUUGUUGCAGACGUCAUUUGCUUCCUGAGGCUUUCAUUAAAUUGAGGGCAGGAUCAUAUUGACUUAACGGACAUGAUUGUGGGUGUAAUUAAAAACCAAAUGAAAAGAGGCAGUAUCAGGGAGCGCACUGAACAUGGUUAAUGUUUAGUGCUGGGUUUGAGCAUGUGAUGAAAAUGGGAAGAGUACAUCCCUUAUCCUUGAACAGGGCUGAAGGAUAUGGGGUUUACUCCAGUCCUUGCAAGGAUUCUGUGCAUGGGUUUGACUCCGAAUAUUUACCAGUCUCCCCUCAAAGGCGGCAGACUCAGGACCAAAGGUCAGCAGAGUUAGGACAACAGCUCCAGACCCACGGUGGGCUGGAGCAGCAGAGCUGCCACUUUGCUUUAAUCCUCUGGAGUCUUCGUCAACAAGUUAGAGAGAAAUGCCUAAUGUCCUGUUUAGCUAAAAUUAAACAUCUUCAAAGAGGAGUAGGGAAUGAGGAGAGUUGGGGGUUUGCAGCAAGGGGCACUGGGCUGGAAUAUACACACUGUAUGUCGCCCUCUUACUGCAGGAACAUCAUUGAUCUCCAGUUUAAUCUCUCUGUGCCACCAACGUUUUGUCUGUAGAAGAGGUGCGGUAAUGCUGCUUCAACUGUCCUGUUUUAGCUGAAUCUUGAAUCACUUUGAAAGAGAGUGAAAAGUUUUCCUGGGAAGUGCAAAAAUAUUUUCAUUUGAGAAACAAGACCACUGAAGAAGCUACAGAGUGUCAGUGCUGAUCUGGGUUGGGGCAUUGCUCCUGGCUCCUGUGCUGGAACCACCAGACAACAUCACUCCAUCCAGGGGAGGAGUCGUGGCCUUGAAUCUCGCCCUGUUCUCACCACUCACCACCACACUGCCUUGCUCAGCACCCACUUCUUCUUCCUCCUCAGUCUUCAUUUGUAUUACAGUCACUCUCUACUUGCUUAACUUUGUAUGAAUCACCAUUUCACACUGAGCCUGAGUUGCCCAUAACUUCAGCUGCUUUGCUUUCUCUGCUGCAUUAUAGGGUCAGCUCCAUUCUGACCCAUGGCAUGAAAAAAGAUCUGCUUUGGAAAUAACAAAGUGAGCAAGUCUUCACUUGUUACUUUUGUUUCCUGGCUGCUGCUGAGUGAAUUCCAAAAAUAUGCAUCCCAAAUGAUGCUUGGUGACUGAGCACUGGAACAGGUUGCCCAGAGAGGUUAAGGCGUCUCCUUCCCUGGAGAUAUUAAAAGCUGUUUGGACACAAUCCUGAGUAAUGUGUUCCAGGAGACUCUGCUUGAGCAGGACUAGAUGACCUCCACUGGUCCCUUCCAACCUUACCCAUUUGUAAUUCUUGGGAGCCCAAGUGAUGCUCUGAUACACUUUGUUUUGGAAAGGAAAUGUCUCAACCAGCUCUGGAGGAAGUAUAUGGUGUGAGGGUUGACCACUGCCAAACAUCAGUCCCAGCUAAUGGGAGGCUGAAUAAGCGGCUCAGUUGGUGUCAUGGAUUUUUUGAGGCUGUCAUUGUUCACUUGGUAGGACAACCCAGUUUUUAAGGCUUUGAAACUUAUUUUUUAUUCUGGUUCCUCGAUAGAGAAAAGUGGUUUUGCAGAAGUGAGACGGACAGCAAGGUGAUGAGAUCUUUUAGCUGCAGCUGUCUCACAAGCCCUCAGGGAUGCUCACAGGCUGUCAUCAGUGUCCUCUUCACUUUGACUGGCUUCAUGGGCCACCCCUCAGUAAGCCUUGAUUUUGACACCUGUAAUAAAAGAGCCAUGUUCAUCCUUUUGGAAACUUGGGGAAACCCCCAGAGCUGCAGCAGAGAUUAAAUUUCAUCCCUCAUGUUGCAGAGGGAAGCUGAAAUGUGUAGUUGUCCCUUAAAAGACUGAAAAGUACCCUUUGGGGAGCCUUUCUGUUUCGUAAGCAAGCGUUCGAGAGGGGUCAGAGAGCUCCUGGCGCCUGUGAAGGAUUUUGGCCUUCAGCUUGAUGUUGGUUGUUAAAAAUAUUUUCCCAGAUGUAUUAAUACAACCAGACUGGAUUGCAUCUGAGCUGAACAUUGUGAGCCUCAGGCAGGACAUAAAUAUAGAAGCAAAACAGCCUGACAUAAGAGUCAUCUGUCCUCUUGUACACAAGAAGUGAAGGGGAAAGAGAGGGAACUUAUUCUGUUGCAAUUUUUAGACACUUCCAGGAAUUAGCCCGAGCCUCAGAGAGUGCCUGCAUGGGGGUCCUGGGGCACAGAAGCCCCCAUGUAUCCCUCUCAGCCCCUGGUGUACUAUGUCACAGGACUGCACAUUUAGCACAUUUUUAACUCAGCGUUAGAUUUGCCUAGACAAGGUCUGCAAUCAGGAAUGACUAUUUGUGUGAUGUGUUUGCCUAACAGGAUUAUCCUUAUCAUAAUGAUAUAGCAACCUGGCCUUGGCAGAGCAAACCCCAAGGGCUCAGGGGGUCAAACCCUUGCCUCCAUUGCCCCAAAUAUGCACAGCACAGCUUGUCUCUUAUCAUGCAAUAUCCAGUCCUGCUUCAGCUGGCAUUCAGAUUUUGGAAAGAGCAAUUGUGCCAUGUAAUGCUGCCUGCUGACAUCACACUUGGCAUUUCUCUCUCUGCACCUGAAAAAAAAAAAUCAAUAAUAUUCAAAGGUUAGAAAAAUGAUGCAGUGUUUUACAAUUAGAGAAUGGGUUGCCUUCCCCAGUGGAAAUUGCUCUGAGCAGGUGCCUGAUUGAAUUCAGUGAGAAUUUGUUGCCCUCUGGCUCCAUAAGAAACAAUGAGUUGCCUGCUUUUGAAUUGUACAUCUUAAAAUCAUUACAAAAUCAUCUACUCAUCCAUAAAAGUGUACCUGUGAUUAUUAAAGUUUGCUAACUUAAAAGACUUGAGGAAGGUGCAGGAUGAAAGCUCAGUUUUCCCACAGAUAAGUAGGACAAAGGCUUUGCGCAGAGCCUGACCCCACUGAUCUUAUCCACCCAGGCUUAUCCACUACAGUUUCUGGCCAGGCUGGGGACACCUCCUGGCUCCCUGUUGGUGUCAUUUUAACCCCAGCACUUCUCAGGCCAGCUGACGUGAGCCUGUCCUUACCAGCUCCCAGGCUAUUUGCAGAAGCAGAACCUGCCGCUCGCUGUGUGUCGGUUCCAAAACAAGCAGGAUCCUCUAUUUAUAAUGUGCUAUAAUUGGCCUGAAUGAAACCUGUGGUUCUUCAGGCUGCAGGGGCCCAGGACUGCUGAUGCAGUGGCACCCUAAUUCCAAGGGAUGCUGCUGGGAAUGCCAAAAUGGCUCUGCAUAAAGCCGAGGGAUGUGUAGGUACAUAGUGUGAGCGGUACAUUCACAGGCUCCUGGUUUCUGGAGCAGGCUGUACUCGUCAGAGCUAUGUAGAUCCCCUUCUCUUGAUAAGAUCUGGGGGGAUGGAGCCUCUUUGGAGCAAAGCAGAGAGAUAUUUUUGUGCUGCAGUAGCUUCACUGUGUAAAUGCUUGGGUUGCCACGGGGAGCAUUACCUUUUUUUCCCCCAAGGCAUUUAUAGCUGGGAUGUGAGCAGGGCUCUGCGACUCAGGAAUUAUCUAUUCAACCAUUGGGCCUAAAAGAUUUGAGUUCACCUGUGAUUAGUGUAUAUUUAAUUGUGGUGGCAUGUGUGGCUGCUCAGAUCCUGGUGUUCAGCAUGGAACUGUUCUGACCUCGUAGCUUGUUACAGGACAAACUCCUGUCUAAGACAAAGAAAAGCAGCCACCUCACUUUUGUUUAGAGGCCAGUACAUACAGUAUAAUGCUCACCCAAGGGUUGAUUUGAUCUGUCUUUGCUGUAUAAACUUCUCCGCCAUUUGAAUCGUAAAACACAAUAGAUAUAAGGCCAAGCAGAAGGAUUAAAAAAAGAAUUGGCUAAUGC